RNAcentral lists this transfer RNA (71 nucleotides) under Loxodonta africana (African savanna elephant). It matches the Rfam family "tRNA". Rfam says of the family: Transfer RNA (tRNA) molecules are approximately 80 nucleotides in length. The record is from Rfam by way of RNAcentral. Lineage: Eukaryota; Metazoa; Chordata; Mammalia; Proboscidea; Elephantidae.
ACAUUGGUGGUUCGGUGGUAGAAUUCUCCUCUUCCAUGCAGAAGACCCGAGUUUGAUUUUUGGCCAAUGUA